AGGACCCAGAGCCUGAAGUCGUAAUCAAGAGCAGAACUUCGCCCCAGAACUGAAGGCCUCGGCCCUAGAUUUAGAUUCCGCCCCAGGGUUCAAGGCCGGGUUCCUAGACCCAGAGUCCAUUCGCAGAGCCCAAAACAUCCUCUUCCCGUGCCCCGCCGCGCGGACCCUUAGCCUUGACCGCCCCCAUCUCUUCUGACCACGUCUUACAAUGCCCCUCUCGCCAGGACGCGCCCAGCGUUGGGCCGCAGGCCUGGGGGGCACUGCCCCGUCUUAUGGAAACCCGAGCAGCGACGUCCAGGCGGAUGGAGCCUUGGGGUCCCGGAGCCCGCCGGGAGUGGGCCCAGAAGAAGAGGAAGGGGAGGGCUAUGAGGAACCUGACAGUGAGGAGGACUCCGAGUUCUAUGAGAACGACUCCAACCUUGGGCAGGACCAGCUCUCCCAGGGUAAGGCUGCCCUCCCCCGUGGCCCCCCACCUCUGCGGUGGCCUGUGGACUCGCAUGGACACCCCUCCUUCUCCACCAGAUGGCAGCGGCUACGAGAACCCUGAGGAUGAGCCCCUGGGUCCUGAGGAUGAAGACUCCUUCUCCAACGCUGAGUCUUAUGAGAACGAGGAUGAAGAGCUGACCCAGCCGGUCGCCAGGACAAUGGGGUCCCAGUCCUAUGAGGAUAUGAGAGGAAUCCUGUAUGCAGCCCCCCAGCUCCGCUCCAUUCGGGGCCAGCCUGGACCCAAUCAUGAGGAAGAUGCAGACUCUUAUGAGAACAUGGAUAAUCCCGAUGGGCCAGACCCAGCCUGGGGAGGAGGGGGCCGCAUGGGCACCUGGAGCACCAGGUGAUCCUCAGGUGGCCAGCCUGGAUCUCCUCAAGUCCCCAAGAUCCACACCUGACUCUGAAAUCUGAAGACCUCGAGCAGAUGAUGCCAACCUCUG
Molecule: small RNA, 926 nt
Filed under: Pan troglodytes (chimpanzee)
Lineage: Eukaryota; Metazoa; Chordata; Mammalia; Primates; Hominidae
Description: retained intron
Source: RNAcentral